AUUAAAAAUGUGAAUUAUGAGAAUCUGCAGCUCUCGUCUCAUCUUUGAGAAAAAUCUUUUGUAAGGACUGGUGUAAGUGUGCCAACGGUUGCCCAUUACAGAUGCAGAUAUGCCAAUGAAGUCUUCCAGUGUAAAGGAGUGCUAUUGAGAGAGAUACCACCAUGGAACACCUCCUUUUAUUAUCACUGAAAAAACAAGUCAAACCUGGAGCUCACUGAUGAUGUAUCAUCACUGUAGAACAGCAAGGAGUUUCCCAAAGGGAUAUGACAGAUCUAGCAGAGGAGACAAGCAGAAGACUUAGAGGACUUUGCACUUGACUUGGACACUACUAUUUAAAGCACUGAUGGGAUAUGACAUGGGUGUGCAAACCAUGCAAAUGAAAAUUUAAUGGUCCUCAGCCUUUCAAAAUACGAGUUACAUUGUGCAUAUCAGAGCAAUAACCUUUUCAGCUUUUCUAGUACUAUGAAAACUGGACUAAGUGUUUGUAGAUCUGGUCUAAGGAAUUGUCAGGGUUGACCUAGUUGAAUUCCAUUGAAUUGAGAGGCAUCAAGGCAGUGCUAAUACUUAGCAAAAUCCCUACCUCUGUCUUGUUCUGCUUCUCAGGAGCCCUUAGAGUCCUGCAUCUUCUGCCUGCCUCUGCCGAGCAACUCUUCUAUGUUUAUUAAAUUUUCUUUUAUAUUAAUUUGAUGGUUUUGAGAGAAAUAAAGAAGCCUUUGUUCAGAAGAUGAAUUUGUCAUAAAAGAGAGUUAAAAAAAAAGUUCAAAAGUUAGAUUUCGCAUCAGUGAUAGAAAUUAGGAAAACAUAAAGCUGAGGUUUUGUGUUCUUUAUUCAUUAAUUUUAAGAGUACUGUAGAAAUCCUGAUGAAGUUGUUAAUGGCCCUUGUUGCUGCCUAACAGACUUCCAGAAAACUUGGGAAUACUGUGAAAUCUUCAAGUAUGAUAAUUAUGUCAGUACCACAGAUUUAUAUAACUCUUUGUAGCCAGACAGCUAAAAACAGGUUGGAUCAGAAGCGACUUUUCUUCACCAAGGCCUGAAAAACUCUAAGUAUGGGUAUUCCACAGCUUCUCUGGGACUUUGCUUCCAUGCUGCAGCACCCUUCUCAUUAAUUUUUUUCCUGGUCUGCAAAUCAAACUAUCAAACCAAGCAUGUGAUUAUUUCUCCUUGUUAUCUUGUCAGGUACU
RNAcentral lists this long non-coding RNA (1181 nucleotides) under Gallus gallus (chicken). Its description in RNAcentral is "lncRNA (ENSGALG00010006978.1)". The record is from RNAcentral. Lineage: Eukaryota; Metazoa; Chordata; Aves; Galliformes; Phasianidae.